GGAUAACCUACCCCUAGGACCGGGAUAACCUUGGGAAACUGAGGACAAUACUGGAUAGGCAAUUUUUCCUGUAAUGGUUUUUUGUUUAAAUGUUUUUUCGCCUAAGGAUGGGUCUGCGGCCGAUUAGGUAGUUGGUUAGGUAAUGGCUUACCAAGCCGUUGAUCGGUACGGGUUGUGAGAGCAAGAGCCCGGAGAUGGAACCUGAGACAAGGUUCCAGGCCCUACGGGGUGCAGCAGGCGCGAAACCUCCGCAAUGUGAGAAAUCGCGACGGGGGGAUCCCAAGUGCCAUUCUUAACGGGAUGGCUUUUCAUUAGUGUAAAAAGCUUUUGGAAUAAGAGCUGGGCAAGACCGGUGCCAGCCGCCGCGGUAACACCGGCAGCUCUAGUGGUAGCAAUUUUUAUUGGGCCUAAAGCGUCCGUAGCCGGUUUAAUAAGUCUCUGGUGAAAUCCU
RNAcentral lists this ribosomal RNA (451 nucleotides) under uncultured archaeon. RNAcentral describes it as "bacterial SSU rRNA". It matches the Rfam family "Archaeal small subunit ribosomal RNA", at positions 102 to 553 of the family's 1478-position model. The record is from RNAcentral.